This 699-nucleotide ribosomal RNA is filed under the name uncultured bacterium. RNAcentral describes it as "bacterial SSU rRNA". It matches the Rfam family "Bacterial small subunit ribosomal RNA", at positions 8 to 722 of the family's 1533-position model. The record is from RNAcentral.
AGAGUUUGAUCCUGGCUCACGAUAAACGCUGGCGGUGUGCCUUAUGCAUGCAAGUCGAACGAGGUCUGGGACUUCGGUUCUAGACCUGUGGCGAACGGGUGAGUAACACGUACGUAACCUGUCCGAAAGUGGGGAACAACUCCGCGAAAGCGGAGCUAAUACCGCAUAUGGUUCCCGGUGAAAGACCGGGGAACAAAAGCCUUCGGGCGCUUUCGGAGGGGCGUGCGGCCGAUUAGCUAGUUGGUGUGGUAACGGCGCACCAAGGCGACCAUCGGUAGCUGGUCUGAGAGGACGGCCAGCCACACAGGGACUGAGACACGGCCCCGACUCCUACGGGAGGCAGCAGCAAGGAAUUUUGCGCAAUGGGCGAAAGCCUGACGCAACAACACCGCGUGGGGGAUGAAGGCCUUCGGGUCGUAAACCCCUUUUGUAAGGGAAACAACUGAAGGGACCCUACGAAAAAGCGAACGGUAACUAACGUGGCCCCAACCCCCGUAAUACCGUAGGCCCCAAGCCUUGUCCGGAAUUUCCUGGCCGUAAACGGAGCGCAAGUGGCUCCACCCCUCCGGGGGGAAAUCUCCCCGGUCAACCGGGAAGGGUCCCUGGAUACCCUAUGGGCUUUAGGAAGCAAACGAAACCGAAUUUCCUGCGUUCCCGCGAAAUACCCCAAUAAUUUGCGGGGAACACCCUGGGCACGGC